RNA transcript from Pelobates fuscus (common spadefoot toad), 2955 nucleotides. RefSeq lists it as uncharacterized. The transcript has 3 exons. The record is from RefSeq and is a predicted model, not a curated record. Lineage: Eukaryota; Metazoa; Chordata; Amphibia; Anura; Pelobatidae.
GUUUUCUCCCCGCCCUAAACUGUCUGGAAUAAGUGGUCUGCCCAAAUUAGAUUGUGACCUCCCCCUCCGGGCGGAGUUUCCCUGCCCCCAGCCAUGAAGAGUGGUGGGUAGUACUAGGAGCAUGAGCAGGGACUGUAAUAAAGCGGAUCUAGUGCAUGUAUCCAGCGCUGGGUGCAAUAGGGCACCCCACUAACCCAGGCAUCCCCCCAAAAAAGCCCUCUCCCCAGGGGAUCACUGGGACCCUCUCUGUCUGGGGAUAAAGAAUCUCACUUCUGGGGGGUUUGGAUGGGAACCCCAUGUCUGCUGCAAACCUACAUCCUUUGUGCUCCUUGCAACCCUCUCUCCAGUGGAGUAAACUCAGACUGAGUGACGGCAAGAUUUCCUUCCUUAAUCUUGUGAGUGGAAUCCGUAAUGAAGACAUGUACAUCAGUCAAAAAUGUUUGCAAGCUCUUUUCGCUAAUUUUUUCCAUGAUCACGUUUCUUUACGUGGUCUACAUCGUGGUUGUAGAGAAGACCUAUUUGCCAGGGGGUUCUUUCAUGUCCCCUCUUCUCAGAUCGAAGGAGUUAAAGACUCUAUGUAGUAGUAACUGGACGGGCGAUACUAUCGUCCAUCUCAAAAAUAGCCGGACCUAUGUAAUCAGUGCCUAUUUGGAUCUCCGGAGCAGAAGCCUCAUCCGGGUUAUUGGAAUUACAUACCGAUACGAGCAAGAACCUUUGUUUUGCGACUUUUGUUUUCAUGGAACCAAUGAGACGGUCCCAGCAGAGAUUGAAAUCCAUAGCGACCACUUUCAGUUCCCCUAUGGAACAAUGGACUUGCUAUGCAAUUUAAAAGACUCCCGAAUUCCCCAGUAUAUCCAUUUACAUGCAGCUAACUAUCCAUCGAACAUUGUUUUUAAAGUCCAUAACAUUGAACAGACGCAUAACCCACCUUCACGGUUUGAAUAUGAUUUUCUUUUGUGCAUUUCUGCUCUGUUUGGUUCUUACAAUAACGUCUUACAGUUCAUCCAGUCGAUGGAAAUGUAUCGGAUGUUAGGGGUACAAAAGGUAAUCCUUUAUCACACGGACUCGAGCGCAAUUCUAAAGCAACUCCUCACUUAUUACAUUAAACAAAACUUCUUGGAAUUAAUUCCAUGGCCAAUCACGACCUAUAUAAAUGUUUCUUCCGGGUGGCAUUACCCAGAACACCCAGGAGAUCUCCAUUAUUACGGACAAACUGCUGCUUUAAAUGACUGUAUCUAUCGCAAUAUGUACAGAAGCAAAUAUAUUGCUCUUAAUGACAUUGACGAACUUAUUUUACCCGCGAGGCAUAAAAAUUGGAAUGAACUGGUCGAUUAUCUUCAACAUUCGAACCCAGACGCCAGUGUUUUUAUAUUUGAAAAUCAUGUUUUUCCGAUAUCGUUUGUAAAUCAAAGCAAGCCUGAUCCGGAGGAAUGGAAGUCCGUGCCAGGCGUCAACAUAAUAAGACACGACCACCGCGAGCCAAACGACCCUUCGGAAGUUAACCCAACAAAGUUGAUACUUAACCCCAGGGAUGUAGUCAGGACCUCCGUGCACACUCCUUUGGAUUUUAGUGGUCAGGAAUAUCGUGUACCCAGGGAAAUUGCACAGCUUUGUCACUACCGGCAGCCGAAGAAAAAAGAAAUUACGGAUGAUAUGCUAAUUGAAGACUAUAUAUUGUCUCCAUUUGAAAAUGCCUUGGUAGAACGAGUUAACCGUGUGAUUGGUCAGCUUGAACUUCUAAAACUUGAGCAGACUGAGACUCUGUUACCUGUGGCUGUGUAAGGACAAAACACGCGUUAAAGAAAAAACCUGAUCCGUGCAACUCAAGAAUUAAAAUGUUAAAUUGUUAUUUGUUGGAUAUAGUCAAAAUGAGUGUGUGAUCACUUAAACGCUGAUUGAUUUCUUUCACAUCCAUUUAAAGGAACCCCUCGUACCAUGACCACUACAGCUCUCGCCCCAUAUUGUAAGGAGGCACUGGGUGUGGCACCCUGCCUCUACUACUACUGUCGGAGAACUGGAAGUUCCUAAACAGAAACAUCCAUUAGCUCAUUGACCGAGACUCUCUCUCAGCCAAUGAGCUAUGCCUUGCACUGGCUUUGCUUUGGAGAACUAACAGAAGAUCCUGUUUAGGAACAGCAGGCUCUCCAGCGUUGGUAAUGGAGGUCGGGAGCAGUGCCCAGCGGGCGCCAGAAAAUUUUGCGACAAAAAAAUCUAGCCUCAUCGAAAGCAGUUGAUUAUAGGUGUGUGUGUGUGUGUGUGUGUGUUUAAUAUAAUAUAUUUUUAUUGCACUGACAAAUCCAGUUCUAGGUCAUUCCGGUGCAAAUGGAUAUAGUUGGAUAAGAUGUUGAAUUUAUUAGCCGUAGCAUUCAUUUGUCUGCAGGGACAAUAUACCAACCCUUGAAAUUGGUCAGGAUUUAAAUUUCUAAAGCCAAGGUUUCCAUUUUAAUGUAUCGAGCGGCACUGCAAUAUGAUGUAACAUGCCCCUCACUCUUGGGUAUGACACUUGUAGAAUACAUGGGAGCAAAGCUCUUUUACCGCUUCCAUUAAAAAUAGGUUCUCCUUAUCCCCUCGGAGUGGGUGUCUGAGAUUCUCUCUAUCUUGUACCACUGGACUCGCUGUAUACCGAGAUUUCCUCCCGGUAGAGGUCUAGGUAUGAUGGUGAUGCUGUGUUGCCCUCCCAUCCUCUGAUGUCAUUCUGAGCCCUCCCACUAGGGGCUAAUUUGGGAACAAUGCGGCUUUAAAGGAACCUAUUAAGUGAAUGUUGCUUUUUCUCAUUUAACAUCACAAUAUUCUUUGCUAAUAGUAAUUCGCUGGCAAUAUGCUUUACUGGGUUAUUCAGAGGUGCUGGCUUUUAAUUCUUAGCCCUUUCAAGUCUGUUCCGUAAAUAGUAAAUUGUGGCAAAAACCUUCAGCUUUUGCAAUGAAAUGCAUUUUAUUUAUAACUCCGGAGUGAUGU